UGGGGAAACCCAGUGUGAUUCGUCACACUAUCAUUAACUGAAUCCAUAGGUUAAUGAGGCGAACCGGGGGAACUGAAACAUCUAAGUACCCCGAGGAAAAGAAAUCAACCGAGAUUCCCCCAGUAGCGGCGAGCGAACGGGGAGCAGCCCAGAGCCUGAAUCAGUGUGUGUGUUAGUGGAAGCGUCUGGAAAGGCGCGCGAUACAGGGUGACAGCCCCGUACACAAAAAUGCACAUGCUGUGAGCUCGAUGAGUAGGGCGGGACACGUGGUAUCCUGUCUGAAUAUGGGGGGACCAUCCUCCAAGGCUAAAUACUCCUGACUGACCGAUAGUGAACCAGUACCGUGAGGGAAAGGCGAAAAGAACCCCGGCGAGGGGAGUGAAAAAGAACCUGAAACCGUGUACGUACAAGCAGUGGGAGCACGCUUAGGCGUGUGACUGCGUACCUUUUGUAUAAUGGGUCAGCGACUUAUAUUCUGUAGCAAGGUUAACCGAAUAGGGGAGCCGAAGGGAAACCGAGUCUUAACUGGGCGUUAAGUUGCAGGGUAUAGACCCGAAACCCGGUGAUCUAGCCAUGGGCAGGUUGAAGGUUGGGUAACACUAACUGGAGGACCGAACCGACUAAUGUUGAAAAAUUAGCGGAUGACUUGUGGCUGGGGGUGAAAGGCCAAUCAAACCGGGAGAUAGCUGGUUCUCCCCGAAAGCUAUUUAGGUAGCGCCUCGUGAAUUCAUCUCCGGGGGUAGAGCACUGUUUCGGCAAGGGGGUCAUCCCGA
RNAcentral lists this ribosomal RNA (773 nucleotides) under Escherichia coli. RNAcentral describes it as "partial 23S ribosomal RNA". It matches the Rfam family "Bacterial large subunit ribosomal RNA", at positions 119 to 934 of the family's 2925-position model. Lineage: Bacteria; Pseudomonadati; Pseudomonadota; Gammaproteobacteria; Enterobacterales; Enterobacteriaceae. The record is from RNAcentral.